UAGGGAAUAUUGGACAAUGGGGGCAACCCUGAUCCAGCCAUGCCGCGUGAGUGAUGAAGGCCUUAGGGUUGUAAAGCUCUUUCGUCAGGGAAGAUAAUGACGGUAACCGGAGAAGAAGCCCCGGCUAACUUCGUGCCAGCAGCCGCGGUAAUACGAAGGGGGCUAGCGUUGUUCGGAAUUACUGGGCGUAAAGCGCACGUAGGCGGACUAUUAAGUCAGGGGUGAAAUCCCGGGGCUCAACCCCGGAACUGCCUUUGAUACUGGUAGUCUCGAGUCCGGAAGAGGUGAGUGGAAUUCCGAGUGUAGAGGUGAAAUUCGUAGAUAUUCGGAGGAACACCAGUGGCGAAGGCGGCUCACUGGUCCGGUACUGACGCUGAGGUGCGAAAGCGUGGGGAGCAAACA
RNAcentral lists this ribosomal RNA (402 nucleotides) under uncultured prokaryote. RNAcentral describes it as "bacterial SSU rRNA". It matches the Rfam family "Bacterial small subunit ribosomal RNA", at positions 355 to 774 of the family's 1533-position model. The record is from RNAcentral.